GACGAACGCUGGCGGCGUGCUUAACACAUGCAAGUCGAACGAAGUGGCGAACGGGUGAGUAAUACGUGGGUAACCUGCCCUCCUUUUUGGGAUAAGCCUUGGAAACGGGGUCUAAUACCGAAUAAAGGGGGAUGGGCUCGCGGCCUAUCAGCUUGUUGGUGGGGUGAUGGCCUACCAAGGCGGUGACGAGUAGCCGGCCUGAGAGGUGGAGCGGCCACAUUGGGACUGAGAUACUGCGUAGACUCCUACGGUAGAGAGCAGUCGGGGAUAUUGCACAAUAGGCGAAACCCUGACCCAGCAACGCCGCGUGGAGGAUAACACUUUGCGGAGCGUAAACUCCGUUUGCGUUACCAACAGAAUAAGCACCGGCUAACUUCGUGCCAGCAGCCGCGGUAAUAC
Molecule: ribosomal RNA, 399 nt
Filed under: uncultured bacterium
Lineage: Bacteria
Description: partial 16S ribosomal RNA
Rfam family: Bacterial small subunit ribosomal RNA
Source: RNAcentral